AGAAGGCGCCUAUAUUCGGACCCACUGCUCAGAACCAGGGAAUCUGGAGAGCAGGACACAUUUGUGGGGCGUCUCUGACGGAUACACUUCACCCCACCGGCCCAGGCCUCUGCCUCUGCUCCAGCUGCCAGACAGGUAUCCAUCUCCUGCGUGGUCCCCUCCCAUCAUGAGUCUGAGUUUAACCAGGUGACUAGCUUCAGCCCGGAGACAUCAGUAAGACCAAUGCAAGCUGCAGCUUGAGAAGCACUUGCACAACGGGGCUUGCCCUCGUGGAAUGCUUCUUCCUGGAACCGGGCUGCCGUGCUUUAAGGAAGCUCAACCAGCCGUGUGAACGGGACAAUGGUGAGGUUACCCCUGAGACCCGCCGGCAGGCCUGGCAACACCCAGUGGAGUCAGGAAGUCCUGCCAGAAUCAUUCACUCCCUCCGUCAUCCUUCCUUGAGCCCACAUUGGGGAAAACAGCACUCGCUGGGGGCAACUUUCCUUUCCCUUGAAAACUCUCUGGCUUAAAGCUCCAGUGUCAGAAAAUAAAAGCAAGCGUCCCAUGGA
Long non-coding RNA from Eptesicus fuscus (big brown bat), 548 nucleotides. RefSeq lists it as uncharacterized. The transcript is spliced from 2 exons. Lineage: Eukaryota; Metazoa; Chordata; Mammalia; Chiroptera; Vespertilionidae. The record is from RefSeq and is a predicted model, not a curated record.